Molecule: unclassified non-coding RNA, 646 nt
Filed under: uncultured Prochlorococcus sp.
Lineage: Bacteria; Bacillati; Cyanobacteriota; Cyanophyceae; Synechococcales; Prochlorococcaceae
Description: partial 16S-23S ribosomal RNA intergenic spacer; may also contain 16S ribosomal RNA and 23S ribosomal RNA
Rfam family: tRNA (bases 304-376)
Source: RNAcentral
UUGUGGAGGAGGACGCCGAAGGUGGGGCUAAUGACUGGGGUGAAGUCGUAACAAGGUAGCCGUACCGGAAGGUGCGGCUGGAUCACCUCCUAACAGGGAGACAACAAAAUGUUAAAUAUUAAUUUUGUCACCUUAGGUCGAUCGGUAUCUCACAUUCUUAAUUUAUUAAGGAUUUUAUUUCCUAAGUUUUUUCUAGGUCACACCCAUUACUUUUCCUGGGCCAUUAGCUCAGGUGGUUAGAGCGCACCCCUGAUAAGGGUGAGGUCCCUGGUUCAAGUCCAGGAUGGCCCAUAUCUCUAUGUUGGGGGUAUAGCUCAGUUGGUAGAGCGCCUGCUUUGCAAGCAGGAUGUCAGCGGUUCGAGUCCGCUUACCUCCACUGAUUACCACCUCUUCCAUAAUUUACAGAAGGGAAUUGUUUUGAGAUGUGAUCAAAUUCUGAACGAAUCUAGCUUCCUAAUCAAACUUAUUAAGAUGCUGGACUCAUUGAAUUAAUUUCAUUGUUUUCAGAGAACCUUGACAACUGCAUAGAUUAUUUUUAAAGACAAUAAGCAUCUUUAAUGAUGCAGAUUUAUUAUUUUUGCUAAUGCAUUAAUAACAAUUCUAUUAAGCUGAUGCUUCAAUUUUGAAGUUAUUGGUCAAGCUACAA